GCAGCGGUAUCGAAGUGGUCAUAACGGGGCUGACUCGAAAUCAGUUUGAUGGAGACAUCACGUGGGUUCGAAUCCCACCCGCUGCGCCA
This 89-nucleotide transfer RNA is filed under the name Bacillota bacterium. Its description in RNAcentral is "tRNA-Ser". It matches the Rfam family "tRNA". Rfam says of the family: Transfer RNA (tRNA) molecules are approximately 80 nucleotides in length. Their secondary structure includes four short double-helical elements and three loops (D, anti-codon, and T loops). Lineage: Bacteria; Bacillati; Bacillota. The record is from RNAcentral. RNAcentral also lists the same sequence under 3 other names.